RNAcentral lists this long non-coding RNA (343 nucleotides) under Elaeis guineensis (African oil palm). Its description in RNAcentral is "long non-coding RNA (EGUI_LNC060189)". Lineage: Eukaryota; Viridiplantae; Streptophyta; Magnoliopsida; Arecales; Arecaceae. The record is from RNAcentral.
CGAACGACUUUACUCCAAACUUCUUUCAGACUUCGUCAAUGUCCGAGCUUCUUUGACAGCAGGAUUUCUACAGUAACCAGACUCCUUCCAAGUUUCUACAACGGUCGAUCACUUUCUGGAUUUCAUUCGAGCUCCUACAAGAGCCGGAUCCCAGCCGAACUUCUACAGUGGAUGGAUCACAUAUGAACUUCUGCAACGGGACAGGCUCCACCAACCGGAUCUCUACUCUGAACUUCUACAAUGGGAGAGGCUCUGCCAAUUAGGUCUCUACUCCGAACUUCUAUAACGGGACAGGCUCCAACUUCUACAAUGGGAGAGGCUCUGCCAAUAGGGUCUCUACUCC